UGGGGGCGUAGUUCAGAUGGUUAGAAUGCCUGCCUGUCACGCAGGAGGUCGCGGGUUCGAGUCCCGUCGCUCCCGA
RNAcentral lists this transfer RNA (76 nucleotides) under Borrelia miyamotoi. RNAcentral's name for it is "tRNA-Asp". It matches the Rfam family "tRNA". Rfam says of the family: Transfer RNA (tRNA) molecules are approximately 80 nucleotides in length. Their secondary structure includes four short double-helical elements and three loops (D, anti-codon, and T loops). The record is from RNAcentral. Lineage: Bacteria; Pseudomonadati; Spirochaetota; Spirochaetia; Spirochaetales; Borreliaceae.